RNAcentral lists this ribosomal RNA (119 nucleotides) under Nicotiana sylvestris (wood tobacco). RNAcentral also lists the same sequence under 1 other name. The record is from RNAcentral. Lineage: Eukaryota; Viridiplantae; Streptophyta; Magnoliopsida; Solanales; Solanaceae.
GGAUGCGAUCAUAUCAACACUAACGCACCGGAUCCCAUCAGAACUCCGAAGUGAAUGGUGCUUGGGCGAGAGUAGUACUAGGAUGGGUGACCCUCUAGGAAUUCCUCGUGUUGCAUCCC